GUCCAGACUCCUACGGGAGGCAGCAGUGGGGAAUAUUGCACAAUGGGCGAAAGCCUGAUGCAGCGACGCCGCGUGAGUGAAGAAGUAUUUCGGUAUGUAAAGCUCUAUCAGCAGGGAAGAAAAUGACGGUACCUGACUAAGAAGCCCCGGCUAACUACGUGCCAGCAGCCGCGGUAAUACGUAGGGGGCAAGCGUUAUCCGGAUUUACUGGGUGUAAAGGGAGCGUAGACGGCAGCGCAAGUCUGGAGUGAAAUGCCGGGGUCCAACCCCGGAACUGCUUUGGAAACUGUGCAGCUUGAGUGCGGGAGAGGUAAGUGGAAUUCCUAGUGUAGCGGUGAAAUGCGUAGAUAUUAGGAGGAACACCAGUGGCGAAGGCGGCUUACUGGACCGUAACUGACGUUGAGGCUCGAAAGCGUGGGGAGCAAACAGGAUUAGAUACCCUAGUA
RNAcentral lists this ribosomal RNA (446 nucleotides) under uncultured bacterium. RNAcentral's name for it is "bacterial SSU rRNA". It matches the Rfam family "Bacterial small subunit ribosomal RNA", at positions 329 to 792 of the family's 1533-position model. The record is from RNAcentral.